GAUGAACGCUGGCGGCGUGCCUAAUACAUUCAAGUAGAACGCUGAAGCUUGGUGCUUGCACCGAGCGGAUGAGUUGCGAACGGGUGAGUAACGCGUAGGUAACCUGCCUCUUAGCGGGGGAUAACUAUUGGAAACGAUAGCUAAUACCGCAUAAAAGACGAUAUCGCAUGAUAUUGAUUUGAAAGGUGCAAUUGCAUCACUAAGAGAUGGACCUGCGUUGUAUUAGCUAGUUGGUGAGGUAACGGCUCACCAAGGCGACGAUACAUAGCCGACCUGAGAGGGUGAUCGGCCACACUGGGACUGAGACACGGCCCAGACUCCUACGGGAGGCAGCAGUAGGGAAUCUUCGGCAAUGGGGGCAACCCUGACCGAGCAACGCCGCGUGAGUGAAGAAGGUUUUCGGAUCGUAAAGCUCUGUUGUAAGAGAAGAACGAGUGUGAGAGUGGAAAGUUCACACUGUGACGGUAACUUACCAGAAAGGGACGGCUAACUACGUGCCAGCAGCCGCGGUAAUACGUAGGUCCCGAGCGUUAUCCGGAUUUAUUGGGCGUAAAGCGAGCGCAGGCGGUUAGAUAAGUCUGAAGUUAAAGGCUGUGGCUUAACCAUAGUACGCUUUGGAAACUGUUUAACUUGAGUGCAGAAGGGGAGAGUGGAAUUCCAUGUGUAGCGGUGAAAUGCGUAGAUAUAUGGAGGAACACCGGUGGCGAAAGCGGCUCUCUGGUCUGUAACUGACGCUGAGGCUCGAAAGCGUGGGGAGCAACAGG
RNAcentral lists this ribosomal RNA (764 nucleotides) under uncultured Streptococcus sp. RNAcentral describes it as "bacterial SSU rRNA". It matches the Rfam family "Bacterial small subunit ribosomal RNA", at positions 28 to 775 of the family's 1533-position model. The record is from RNAcentral. Lineage: Bacteria; Bacillati; Bacillota; Bacilli; Lactobacillales; Streptococcaceae.